UACGACUACAUAUCAGGCAUAUCAAUAAGCGGAGGAAAAGAAACUAACAAGGAUUCCCUUAGUAACGGCGAGUGAAGCGGGAAGAGCUCAAAUUUGAAAUCUUCAAGGUUUUACCUUGACGAAUUGUAGUUUAAAGAAGUGUUUUCUGUUGAAGUUUUGGUAAAAGUUCUUUGGAAUAGGACAUCAUAGAGGGUGAGAAUCCCGUAUUUGACCAUUAUUUUCAGCUGUGUGAUACACUUUCAAAGAGUCGGAUUGUUUGGGAAUGCAGUCCAAAAUGGGUGGUAAAUUUCAUCUAAAGCUAAAUAUUGGCGAGAGACCGAUAGCGAACAAGUACCGUGAGGGAAAGAUGAAAAGAACUUUGAAAAGAGAGUUAAACAGUACGUGAAAUUGUCAAAAGGGAAGCGUUUGACACCAGUGUUGUUUUCUCGAAAAUCAAUUAAAAAAGUUGGAUUUUGUGUUGUAUUGACCUUAACAGCUUGCUUCACUCUUUUCCAGCUUUUUUUAAUGCACUUUUCGUUUAACAAGUCAACAUCAGUUUCUUUUGUUGUAAAAGGGUCAUUGGAAGGUGGCUUUCUCUUCGGAGAAAGUGUUUAUAGCCUUUGAUCUCUGCAAUCGGAGAGACUGAGGUCUGCAGCGUAGAUCCUUCGGGGUUAGAUACAUUUGUGCUAAGCUACAGCUUUUCAUAGACAACUUGUUGACUAUGUUUAGUCUUGUGACUUACCCGCUUAUGCUAUUUUACCUACGCUUAGGAUGUUGAGCGCAUGUCUCUCUCU
RNAcentral lists this ribosomal RNA (773 nucleotides) under uncultured Neocallimastigales. RNAcentral describes it as "partial large subunit ribosomal RNA". It matches the Rfam family "Eukaryotic large subunit ribosomal RNA", at positions 24 to 616 of the family's 3401-position model. Lineage: Eukaryota; Fungi; Neocallimastigomycota; Neocallimastigomycetes; Neocallimastigales. The record is from RNAcentral.